AUGGGCAAGGGGAAGCAGCGCGUCCGCGCCCGCGGCGACGGCGCCGGAGGAGAGCCUGCCGGGGAAGGCGAAGCUGCCGUCGCCGGAGGCGGCGGCGCUGCCGGCGGGGGCCACACCCCCUCCACCGUCUUCGUCUCCAACCUGCCGUACACCUACAAGUCCUCCGAUCUCGAGACGGUGUUCAGCGAGGUCGGGCCGGUGAGGCGCUGCUUCAUGGUCGCGUCGAAAGGGUCCGAGACGAGUAAAGGAUUUGGGUUUGUACAAUUUGCCACUGUUCAGGAUGCUGAGCGAGCUAUUCAACAAAAGAAUGGUUUUGCUGUUGCUGGUAGGAAAAUCAGAGUUAAGCUCGCAAUACAACGUGCUCCGUUGAAGGAACGUUUGCAAAAGAAAGAGAGCGCAGUGCAAGCUGACGACUCCAAUGCAAAAGAUGAAGAAGAUGACAAUUCUACUCCUGUUCCUGUAAAACAUAAGGAGACCUCUCAUAAAGCUGAUGCAGGACCACCACAGUUAUUGGCCAAGUAUACCAAAGUAGCGAAGGAAGUUAGCACUAAUGCUACUGACAAACCGAAAAGUUCUGAAAAGCAAAGGAUCGCCAAAACCGUUAUAUUUGGUGGUCUUCAAGACUUCUCCAUGGCUAGUGAAGUUUUCCGUCUGGCAGGAGAGAUUGGCACGGUAGUGUCUGUAAAUUAUCCACUUCCAAAAGAGGAAAUGGAGCUCCAUGGGCUUGCACGCGAUGGGUGCACAUCGGAUGCGGCAGCAGUACUCUUUUCAAGUGUGAAAUCAGCUUGGGAGGCUGUUGUCCUCUUGCAUCACAAGGAGAUAAAAGGAGCAAUUGUUUGGGCUCGUCAACUUGGUGGGGAGGGUUCAAAGAUCAGGAAAUGGAGAGUGAUAGUCAGGAACCUGCCAUUCAAGGUUACUAUAAAGGAGGUCAUGGACAUAUUUAGUUGUGAAGGAUUUGUCUGGGAUGUCUCCAUUCCACAAAAAUCUGAUGAUGGGAAGUCAAAAGGCUUUGCUUUUCUGUCUUUCACACGCAAACAGGAUGCAGAAAAUGCUAUAAAAAAUGUUAACGGAAAAGUUAUUGCAAAGAGAACAGUCGCUGUUGAUUGGGCUGUUCCGAAGAAUGUAUAUGCUGUUGCUGCAAAGUCUGAUGCUAAGGACGAUGAGUUGGAAGAUAUAUCUGACAAGGGCAGUGACAAGGAAUCCUCUGAAGAUAAUCUUGUUGGAGGAGAUGACAGCGAUGAUAACUGUGAACUUGAUCAGGAGACUUCAAAUCGUCUUCCUGUGGAUGAUUUCAAAAGUGAAGCGGACAUUUCUAGAAAAGUUCUUGAAAAUUUGAUCAAGUCAUCAGAGAAGUCUGAGCGGUCUGGUGUUGAGAGUUCUGAUAUUGAUACAGAUUCUGAAACAGAAAAUGACACACCAGAGAAGAGUUCUGAUAUUGAUACAGAUUCUGAAACAGAAAAUGACACACCAGAGAAGAGUUCUGAUAUUGAUACAGAUUCUGAAACAGAAAAUGACACACCAAAAAAGAAGCAACCCCAGUCACCUGCAGCUGUCAAGUUGGCAGAAUCUAGAGAUGUAACAAAGACCGAAAGUAUCAUUCCUGCUUUGAAACCUGCAGCUGCCAUGUUGGCAGAAUCUAAACAUGUAGCAGAGACAGAAAGCAAUGUUCCUUCUUUGAAACCUAAGAAAGAAGAUGCUGGCCUGGAUAGGACAAUAUUCAUAAGCAACCUUCCUUUCGAUAUUAGCAAUGAGGAGGUAACAGAGCGGUUCUCAGUGUUUGGGAAGGUUCAAUCUUUCUUCCCAGUUCUGCAUAAACUCACAAAGAGACCUAGAGGGACUGGUUUUCUCAAGUUUUCUACAGCAGAGGCAGCCGAUGCAGCAGUUUCUGCUGCUAAUGCUGCUCCUGGAUUAGGAAUUUUUGUAAAAAGCAGACCACUUAAUGUUAAGAAAGCGCUGGAUAAGGAGUCAGCUCACAAAAAGGAACUGGAGAAGGGAAAGAAUGAGGUUGAGGAUCGACGCAACCUGUAUUUGUCAAAGGAAGGUGAAAUACUCCCUGGAACGCCAGCUGCGGAAGGUGUUUCAGAUGUUGACAUGAAUAAACGUAGUUGGUUGGCUAAAAGAAAAGCAGAAAUGCUUGUAUCUCCAAAAUUCCAUGUCUCCAGAACAAGGCUUAUCAUUUACAAUUUGCCAAAGACUCUGACCAUUAAUGAUGUAAAGAAGCUUUGCCGAGAAGCAGUAAUUUCUCGUGCUACCAAGCAAAAUCCUGUCAUCCGGAAGGUAAAUAUCCUAAACAAUGAAAAGAAAGGUCAGGGUGCUGCACAAAAGCAUUCCCGGGGGGUAGCCUUUGUUGACUUUCAAGAACAUGAGCAUGCUCUUGUAGCUCUGAGGGUUCUAAACAACAACCCUGGAACCUUUGGUACAGAACGUCGUCCAAUUGUCGAGUUUGCACUUGAGGAUGUUGAAAAAAUGAGGCUCCAGAAGAUUCGGAACGAACGCAAUGGUAGGGCAAAAGAGGCUGCACAAGAGCGGAGGGCUCUGGGAGAUCAGUCUACAACUGAUGGCCCUCGUCCAAAUAAGAAGGGACCUUUUGGAAAAGGGAGCAAGCAAGAAUCGCAAGAUAUACCAUCUAAAUUAUCUGACUCUGGCAAAGGACCUUCAGAUGAUCUGUCAGUUCCUGGAGGUCCCAACACCACUGUGGAAAGCACACAGGGAGACAAAAGGCAAUCUCAAAGGCCCGCGAAACGAGCACGGCAGUCAAUUAAGGGAACCUCCUCUGUGUCAGAUGGAAAUCAAACAGAUGUGGCCCCGAAUGCUGCACCGAGUGGACCAUCCACAGCACACACUCAGGCGGACGCACGAAGAAAAAGGAGGAACAGAAAUGAUGGUGAGCAGAAGAGAGACAAGGCUACGAAAAGGGCGAGGAAAGAUGCGAGUGGGGCGGGGGGCGUGGACAAGUCGCUGGCGGAGCAGUACCGCUCCAAGUUUCUGCAGCACGGCGUGAACAAAACCAAGGCUAGUUAA
RNAcentral lists this ribosomal RNA (3021 nucleotides) under Triticum aestivum (bread wheat). RNAcentral's name for it is "partial small subunit ribosomal RNA". The record is from RNAcentral. Lineage: Eukaryota; Viridiplantae; Streptophyta; Magnoliopsida; Poales; Poaceae.